This 41-nucleotide ribosomal RNA is filed under the name Atoxoplasma sp. MS-2003. Its description in RNAcentral is "partial small subunit ribosomal RNA". The record is from RNAcentral. Lineage: Eukaryota; Apicomplexa; Conoidasida; Eucoccidiorida; Eimeriidae.
ACGGGUAACGGGGAAUUAGGGUUCGAUUCCGGAGAGGGAGC